GGAGGGGUUGCCGAGUUUUGGCAUCAAAUUCUUCAGUCCAGCUGCUCUCUUUUAAGUGUCAAUGGCCUUACUCUAUAGCAUCCAGACUGGUCAAGGUCCCUAUAAUGAGAAACCCAAGUUACAGGUAUGUAAUUUUCACAGUUUUUUGCCGAGAUCUCCAAGUUGGUGACAAAUUGAUAUACCACUGUCUGUACGGAAGACUGCUUUUAGAAAACAGGCCACACUCAGUUGAAACACUAUGCCUGAAGGAUUGCGCAAUUUUAAACUUCUGAGAUAUAAAAAACAUCCUUCACCCAAGUCUCUUGUAGAAUGUUGAACUAUAAAGCGUAUUGUUUAAGCUUGGAAAGCCCUGCCAGAACAACAAGAUGUGAGAAAAAUCUUCAGGUACCAGGAACCAGGAGAUCAUGGAAAAGCAACUAACGAUGAUGGGAAGAGUGGAACAUUGAAAUUGGCAUUUGGCACUCAGAAGAUUCCAGGAAUCUGUUGCUCUUCUGAACGUUUCAGGGUUAGUCGAUGUCUACAUGUAGUGGUGCAAAGCAACCUCAGCCCUAUGGUCCAGUAUUUGCCCAUCAAAACUUGUCUUAUGAUUUAUAGAACUGGAACUUCACUGCAUGUUGAAGAGUAUGAAUUUAAAAAUAAUUGUGAACACAUCUUCGUCAUCGAUUCUUGUACCUCUUCAGUGUGCUAA
Molecule: long non-coding RNA, 688 nt
Filed under: Aotus nancymaae (Ma's night monkey)
Lineage: Eukaryota; Metazoa; Chordata; Mammalia; Primates; Aotidae
Description: lncRNA (ENSANAG00000038836.1)
Source: RNAcentral